This 649-nucleotide long non-coding RNA is filed under the name Mus caroli (Ryukyu mouse). Its description in RNAcentral is "lncRNA (MGP_CAROLIEiJ_G0004274.1)". The record is from RNAcentral. Lineage: Eukaryota; Metazoa; Chordata; Mammalia; Rodentia; Muridae.
ACAGGAGUGGGUUUAGCUGUGAGAUCUUGUUUUCAUCUGGAUCUGAAGUAGCCCUGCCUCAAGGGCUAUCCUCUCUCUUCAUUGUCAUCCCUGACUGAAAGCUUCUGCCAAGAACACAGGAGAUAUAAGCAGUUUCACCUAACUGAGGCAGCCUGCUGAGAGGGCAACGAAGGUCUUGUCUACUGAGAGGAAACACGUGUUCAAGAUGGCAGGAAGAGUUAUUAGCAAAGCUGGGUCUAACAUCAAGCUGUCUUCAGUCACUAGCAUCUUGAAGUUUGUUUGUAGCUCUGUAUGGAACUGAUCCAGAUAAGUUGACUACAAUUCUGCAGUAUCAUGCCUCAGCUCAUAUGUGUCUGGAGGAGUUGAAGCAAGAACAAAGCUUCUGGACUUGCUGUCCUUACAGAGUUGAUGGUGGGAGGAUGGAAAAAUGGAGUAUGAUGUGAUUACCCUGCUUUCUGCUACAGCCACCAUGCUUGCCUGCUGCCAUGUUUCCCUGCUGUGAUGGACUCUUAUCUCUCUGGAACUCUGUAGUUGUUUCAAUGAGAAUGGCCCUCAUACGGCUCAUGUAUUAGAAUAUUUGACUCCUAAGUGGUAGAACUGUUUGGGAAUGGAUUAAGACAUAGGACCUGUAGAAGAAGGUCUGUCACUU